RNAcentral lists this small RNA (585 nucleotides) under Pongo abelii (Sumatran orangutan). RNAcentral's name for it is "processed transcript". Lineage: Eukaryota; Metazoa; Chordata; Mammalia; Primates; Hominidae. The record is from RNAcentral.
ACGGUGCAGAUGCCAGUGAAGAAGACCCAACAUGGGCUGGGGAGGAAGAGGGUGCAGACUCCGGGGAGGAGGAUGGUGUGGAUGCCAGCGAGGAAGAUGAUACAAUUACCAAUGAAAAGGCAGACAGUAUUCUAAAUUUUUUGAAGUCAACACAAGAAAUGUAUUUUUAUGACGCUUGGGGCAGACCAACAGUCAUGCCAGGAGUAACCAAAAAGCCAGGUUGAGAAACACCUGUUGAAAGGAUCAGCAAGCUACUCAGGAAACCAGCUCAUAGAAAGAUGGAACUCCUGGAACCCUCAUGGGGAGAUUAUCAUGGAAACAUCUGCAGCCACUUGUCUUCAGGAAUCUGCCAGUCCUGAGUGUGGGCGUAGGGUGAGGGUCUGGGGAAAGGACCUGGUGGAGCCCAGAGAGCAGAAAAACCAGCCUCACAGGUUGAGAGACCAAAAGCAGAGCCUGGAGCCCAGUGAGCACAGACAUUAGAGCCGGGGCCGGCAGGUUCAGAAGUCAGAGCCUGGAGCCCAAUGAGCACAGACAUUAGAGCUGGGGCCGGCAGGUUGAGGUCAGAGCCUGGGGACCAAUGGGCUC